GUCCACGCCGUAAACUAUGGGUGCUAGCCGUUGGGAAGCUUGCUUUUCAGUGGCGCAGCUAACGCAUUAAGCACCCCGCCUGGGGAGUACGGUCGCAAGAUUAAACUCAAAGGAAUUGACGGGGCCCGCACAAGCGGUGGAGCAUGUGGUUUAAUUCGAAGCAACGCGCAGAACCUUACCUACCCUUGACAUGUCUAGUAUGGGUUCCAGAGAUGGGAUUCUUCAGUUCGGCUGGCUAGAACACAGGUGCUGCAUGGCUGUCGU
This 264-nucleotide ribosomal RNA is filed under the name uncultured bacterium. RNAcentral describes it as "partial 16S ribosomal RNA". It matches the Rfam family "Bacterial small subunit ribosomal RNA", at positions 793 to 1055 of the family's 1533-position model. The record is from RNAcentral.